RNAcentral lists this ribosomal RNA (525 nucleotides) under Bacillus pumilus. RNAcentral describes it as "bacterial SSU rRNA". It matches the Rfam family "Bacterial small subunit ribosomal RNA", at positions 707 to 1232 of the family's 1533-position model. The record is from RNAcentral. Lineage: Bacteria; Bacillati; Bacillota; Bacilli; Caryophanales; Bacillaceae.
CACCAGUGGCGAAGGCGACUCUCUGGUCUGUAACUGACGCUGAGGAGCGAAAGCGUGGGGAGCGAACAGGAUUAGAUACCCUGGUAGUCCACGCCGUAAACGAUGAGUGCUAAGUGUUAGGGGGUUUCCGCCCCUUAGUGCUGCAGCUAACGCAUUAAGCACUCCGCCUGGGGAGUACGGUCGCAAGACUGAAACUCAAAGGAAUUGACGGGGGCCCGCACAAGCGGUGGAGCAUGUGGUUUAAUUCGAAGCAACGCGAAGAACCUUACCAGGUCUUGACAUCCUCUGACAACCCUAGAGAUAGGGCUUUCCCUUCGGGGACAGAGUGACAGGUGGUGCAUGGUUGUCGUCAGCUCGUGUCGUGAGAUGUUGGGUUAAGUCCCGCAACGAGCGCAACCCUUGAUCUUAGUUGCCAGCAUUCAGUUGGGCACUCUAAGGUGACUGCCGGUGACAAACCGGAGGAAGGUGGGGAUGACGUCAAAUCAUCAUGCCCCUUAUGACCUGGGCUACACACGUGCUACAAUG